Molecule: ribosomal RNA, 1350 nt
Filed under: metagenome
Description: bacterial LSU rRNA
Rfam family: Bacterial large subunit ribosomal RNA
Source: RNAcentral
UGAGUGCGAGCUGCUACGGCAGCGAAGUUGGUGACGUCAAGCUUCCAAGAAAAGCCCUAUACCCGUUAAGGCAUCAUGGCCUGUACCCGAAACCGACACAGGUGGGGUGGUAGAGAAUACCGAGGGGCGCGAGGUAACUCUCUCUAAGGAACUCGGCAAAAUGGCCCCGUAACUUCGGGAGAAGGGGUGCCACCGCAAGGUGGUCGCAGUGAAGAGGCCCAGGCGGCUGUUUACCAAAAACACAGGUCUCCGCUAAGUCGCAAGACGAUGUAUGGGGGCUGACGCCUGCCCAGUGCCGGAAGGUUAAGGAAGCUGGUCCGCGCAAGCGAAGCUGGCGACUGAAGCCCCGGUGAACGGCGGCCGUAACAAUAACGGUCCUAAGGUAGCGAAAUUCCUUGUCGGGUAAGUUCCGACCCGCACGAAAGGCGUAACGAUCUGGGCGCUGUCUCGGAGAGAGGCUCGGCGAAAUAGAAUUGUCUGUGAAGAUGCGGACUACGUGCACCCGGACAGAAAGACCCUAUGAAGCUUUACUGUAGCUUGGUAUUGUGCCCGGGCUCUGAAUGCGCAGGAUAGGUGGGAGGCUUUGAUCAUCGGCUUGCGGGUCGAUGUGAGCCAACGGUGAGAUACCACUCUUUCAGAGCUAGGGUUCUAACAGUCACCCGUUAUCCGGGGACUGGACAGUAUCAGGUGGGCAGUUUGACUGGGGCGGUCGCCUCCUAAAAGGUAACGGAGGCGCGCAAAGGUCUGCUCAGGCUGGUUGGAAAUCAGCCGACGAGUGUAAAAGCAGAAGCAGGCUUGACUGUGAGACCUACAAGUCGAACAGGGAGGAAACUCGGCUUUAGUGAUCCGACGGUUCUGCGUGGAAGGGCCGUCGCUCAACGGAUAAAAGUUACUCUAAGGAUAACAGGCUGAUCUCCCCCAAGAGUUCACAUCGACGGGGAGGUUUGGCACCUCGAUGUCGGCUCAUCGCAACCUGGGGCUGAAGUCGGUCCCAAGGGUUGGGCUGUUCGCCCAUUAAAGCGGUACGCGAGCUGGGUUCAGAACGUCGUGAGACAGUUCGGUCCAUAUCCGGUGCAUGCGCAGGAAUAUUGAGAGGAGUUCUCCCUAGUACGAGAGGACCGGGAGGAACGCACCUCUGGUGUACCAGUUAUCGUGCCAACGGUAAACGCUGGGUAGCCAUGUGCGGAGAGGAUAACCGCUGAAAGCAUCUAAGUGGGAAGCCCACCUCAAGAUGAGUAUUCCCAUGGCGUUAGCCAGUAAGGUCACGGGAAGAACACCCGUUGAUAGGCUCUAUGUGGAAGCGCAGUAAUGCGUGAAGCAGAGGAGUACUAAUAGACCGAGGGCUUGACC